RNAcentral lists this ribosomal RNA (721 nucleotides) under uncultured bacterium. Its description in RNAcentral is "bacterial SSU rRNA". It matches the Rfam family "Bacterial small subunit ribosomal RNA", at positions 91 to 1346 of the family's 1533-position model. The record is from RNAcentral.
UGCAGUGGCGAACGGGUGAGUAACACGUGAGUAACCUGCCCCAGACUCUGGGAUAAGCCUUGGAAACGAGGUCUAAUACUGGAUAUGAGACGCCCCUGCAUGGGAGUGUCUGGAAAGAUUUAUCGGUCUGGGAUGGACUCGCGGCCUAUCAGCUUGUUGGUGGGGUAAUGGCCUACCAAGGCGACGACGGGUAGCCGGCCUGAGAGGGCGACCGGCCACACUGGGACUGAGACACGGCCCAGACUCNUACGGGAGGCAGCAGUGGGGAAUAUUGCACAAUGGGCGCAAGCCUGAUGCAGCGACGCCGCGUGAGGGAUGAAGGCNUUCGGGUUGUAAACCUCUUUCAGCAGGGAAGAAGCGCAAGUGACGGUACCUGCAGAAGAAGCGCCGGCUACUACGUGCCAGCAGCCGCGGUAAUACGUAGAGGGCCAGCGUUGUCCGGAAUUAUUGGGCGUAAAGAGCUCGUAGGCGGUUUGUCGCGUCUGGUGUGAAAACUCAAGGCUCAACCUUGAGCUUGCAUCGGGUACGGGCAGGCUAGAGUGCGGAAGGUGGGGAUGACGUCAAAUCAUCAUUCNCCUUAUGUCUUAGGCUUCACGCAUGCUACAAUGGCCGGUACAAAGGGCUCNAUACCGCCAGGUGGAGCGAAUCCCAAAAAGCCGGUCUCAGUUCGGAUUGGGGUCUGCAACUCGACCCCAUGAAGUCGGAGUCGCUAGUAAUCGCA